GUCCACGCCGUAAACGAUGGAUACUAGCUGUUGGGCGCAAGUUCAGUGGCUAAGCGAAAGUGAUAAGUAUCCCACCUGGGGAGUACGAACGCAAGUUUGAAACUCAAAGGAAUUGACGGGGGCCCGCACAAGCGGUGGAGCAUGUGGUUUAAUUCGAUGAUACGCGAGGAACCUUACCAAGGCUUAAAUGCAGACUGACCGAUUUGGAAACAGAUCUUUCGCAAGACAGUUUACAAGGUGCUGCAUGGUUGUCGU
This 255-nucleotide ribosomal RNA is filed under the name uncultured bacterium. RNAcentral's name for it is "partial 16S ribosomal RNA". It matches the Rfam family "Bacterial small subunit ribosomal RNA", at positions 793 to 1055 of the family's 1533-position model. The record is from RNAcentral.